AUUCCAUGAUGGGGACAUUCUAGGAUGUAGUCUUAGAAGCGCUCCCAUGCUUCUAGAACAGAUUCAUCAUUUUGUUGCUGAAAACUUAUAAUAUUCUCACGGAGAGC
Molecule: small nucleolar RNA, 107 nt
Filed under: Sorghum bicolor (sorghum)
Lineage: Eukaryota; Viridiplantae; Streptophyta; Magnoliopsida; Poales; Poaceae
Description: Plant small nucleolar RNA R71
Rfam family: Plant small nucleolar RNA R71
About the family: R71 is a member of the C/D box family of snoRNAs containing the C (UGAUGA) and D (CUGA) box motifs. Multiple nearly identical copies of this snoRNA have been identified in Arabidopsis, and it is thought to function as a 2'-O-ribose methylation guide for 18S ribosomal RNA.
Source: Rfam by way of RNAcentral